Molecule: non-coding RNA, 316 nt
Organism: Taeniopygia guttata (zebra finch)
Lineage: Eukaryota; Metazoa; Chordata; Aves; Passeriformes; Estrildidae
Source: RefSeq, a predicted model, not a curated record
CAGAUCACUAUGGACUGGAUGAGGUGUGUGUGGGAGGCUGCACUGCUGUGAAAUUAGCAUCAAAGACUCAUCACAUCCAGUAAUAAAUAAAGAUCAUCUGGAAACCUGAUAUCCUGAUCUGAAGCACUGAAAAAUCCCCAGCCCUAAAGCCCAUUCUGGCUUAUCCAGAUUUGAAUACCUGACAAAAGUACAUUCCUCUGUGAAUUAUGAAGCAUUUUUCAGACCUACAUGGCAAGAGCACUGACAGACGUUUCUCCUCAACUGCUUUCAUCUUAUAUUGUAGAUUCAUGUGAUACUAAACACCAUCCCUGAAGGA